Molecule: non-coding RNA, 69 nt
Organism: Podarcis lilfordi (Lilford's wall lizard)
Lineage: Eukaryota; Metazoa; Chordata; Lepidosauria; Squamata; Lacertidae
Source: the annotation of a GenBank genome assembly
GCUGUAGCUCAGUAAUACAGCACCUGCUUUUCAUGCAGAAGGUUCCAAGUUCAACCCCUGGCAUUUCCA